AGUUGGGGUCUAGAACCAUGGCUUCUUCGGCUGCCUUUGAAGUGUCUAUUGCGCUUGAUUUCUGGGUGGUCUCAGGGGCAUCUGAACUGUCACUCACUUCCAAGCAGCCCAUCAAGUCUCCACUCCACACCUGGGUCCCCUCACUGCUAGGCUGCCGUGGGAACUUGGCCCUGGUAGGUGACUUGCUUUCCUCGCUGAGCACAUACUUUGAUGUGUAAUUACUGGUUUGGUUUCCUGCCUGGACAGAAAUGCCCCAGAGGUGCUUCUGUGUCUCUCUCUCAUCAGCAGCUCUUGGUGCGAGUUGGGUGCCUUGGGGUUCCUGGGUUCUGCUUUCUGGGCUUUGCUCUGACUUGCACUCAGCGGGCUCAGGCACUUCCUCUGCACUGAGCUUCACUAACUCUGAGGUGAGGCAUGAAGCCACCAGACAUGACCUGGAAUCCUGUCUUAACUGGUUUUCCCCCAGGAGACCUGCAGAAGGAGUGUCCUGAGAGGCCCUUUGCAAGCGAAACCCACCAGGCUUGCAGGGACCCUGCAGAUGGGGAGCCCCACUCUGAAAAGCAGGAAUCGGGCCAGACAGCUGGGUGGGUGCAGGGGAAGGGAUGUUUUGUAUUCUUGGAUCUCGUUCAUUUUUGGCCCCUUCCUUCACAUGGGUCCCAGACUUCACAACAUUCUGUCCCACGGGAUCCUCGGGGCACUCUGGUGAAAACCCUGCUAUGGAAUGGGCCCUGACCAGUGCCCUCAUGUGCCCACAGUUGAGUCUGGGGGAUGCCCUGUUCUUGUCACCAGUAGUUUCUGGGGCACUAUGGUGACGGUUGGUGCGUAGGAGGCAAGAUGUCCUCAAAGGAGGCUGGUCGCGCAGUCCCAGAGGUGUCCUGCCUCCUGUUCUCCAGCAACUGUGGCAAAGGCUCGCCACCCAUUUUUGCAAGAGUCAUCCUCUAAGCUAGGGGACAAAUCGAGUUCUUCCUUUGCAUGAAGCCCAGGAACACUGGUCAAAUGCUGCUCCUGAGGGGGUCCAGUUGCUGAGACAUCAGGGUAUUCCCAAGGUGCUUCUAUAUCUACGGGAGUACCUCUUAGAGGGUGGAAGACUCCCCUCGGGAGGUACCCAGACAAGGACUCUGUGUCAGAGGCACUUUCAAAGGGGUCAGUUUUUGUGUCUGAUCCACUUUCACUCUGCUGGGACAGCGUUUCAGAAUCAUCGCGGUCUGUUUGCUGGUUCCAUCCCUGCUCCACUUGUUCUGCAGGGGAUGUGGGGAGCUGGUUAUCUUCAAUCUCACCUUCACCUGGCAGGUGUGCACCUGGCUCUGGAGUCUGGGAGGGCAAGAAGAGAGGAGUCAGAGACAAGGCCUGAGUACAUCUGUGCACAUGUUUACACCGUGCCUGCCUUUGCCAGAAGGAGGAAGGCUCAGAAAUGGCUCAUUAGUUCCCCAUGUACCCCU
This 1436-nucleotide long non-coding RNA is filed under the name Homo sapiens (human). RNAcentral's name for it is "HSALNT0039866". The record is from RNAcentral. Lineage: Eukaryota; Metazoa; Chordata; Mammalia; Primates; Hominidae.